CUCAUUAAGCUACCAUGGCAAUGCCGAAUGGAUGGAGGGAGAGAUUUGGGAGGGAGAGGAGGGAGGGAGGAAGAGAGAGACUGGGAGAGAGAGAGAGGGGGGAAGAGAGAGACAGAGACAGAGAGAGAGAAAGACAGAGAGAGACUGUGGAGGGUGGUAUAUGGUGGUAUAGGGUGGUAUAGGGUGGUAUAUGGUGGUAUAUGGUGAUAUAGGGUGGUAUAGGGUGGUAUAUGGUGGUAUAUGGUGGUAUAGGGUGGUAUAUGGGUGGUAUAUGGUGGUAUAGGGUGGUAUAUGGUGGUAUAGGGUGGUAUAGGGUGGUAUAUGGUGGUAUAGGGUGGUAUAGGGUGAUAUAGGGUGGUAUAGGGUGGUAUAUGGUGGUAUAUGGUGGUAUAGGGUGGUAUAUGGUGUUUUCGUGACCCCGAAGGAGGGAUUCAUCAAAGGUGUUGGUAACGCUUUUAAAUCCCAUUAACAUUAUUUAUAUCUUAGAUAUGACAGAUCCUUAGAACAUUCAUGUACAUUAUAAUAUGUAUGUAUAAAUAUGUUAAGCAUAUUAUGUACUCACAUUGGAUUUAUUCAGUGUGU
Long non-coding RNA from Oncorhynchus tshawytscha (Chinook salmon), 582 nucleotides. NCBI's taxonomy places the organism in Eukaryota, Metazoa, Chordata, Actinopteri, Salmoniformes, Salmonidae. The record is from Ensembl.